Molecule: transfer RNA, 73 nt
Filed under: Candidatus Chlamydia sanziniae
Lineage: Bacteria; Pseudomonadati; Chlamydiota; Chlamydiia; Chlamydiales; Chlamydiaceae
Description: tRNA-Thr
Rfam family: tRNA
About the family: Transfer RNA (tRNA) molecules are approximately 80 nucleotides in length.
Source: RNAcentral
GCCCAAAUAGCUCAAUUGGCAGAGCAACACAUUCGUAACGUGUAGGUCGUCGGUUCGACUCCGGCUUUGGGCA